AUUGAACGCUGGCGGCAUGCUUUACACAUGCAAGUCGAACGGUAACAGGCCGCAAGGUGCUGACGAGUGGCGAACGGGUGAGUAUGCAUCGGAACGUGCCCAGUCGUAGGGGAUAACGCAGCGAAAGUUGCGCUAAUACCGCAUACGAUCUAUGGAUGAAAGCGGGGGACCGUAAGGCCUCGCGCGAUUGGAGCGGCCGAUGUCAGCUUAGGUAGUUGGUGGGGUAAAGGCUCACCAAGCCGACGAUCUGUAGCUGGUCUGAGAGGACGACCAGCCACGCUGGGACUGAGACACGGCCCAGACUCCUACGGGAGGCAGCAGUGGGGAAUUUUGGACAAUGGGCGCAAGCCUGAUCCAGCAAUGCCGCGUGCAGGAAGAAGGCCUUCGGGUUGUAAACUGCUUUUGUACGGAACGAAACGGUCCUGGUUAAUACCCGGGGCUAAUGACGGUACCGUAAGAAUAAGCACCGGCUAACUACGUGCCAGCAGCCGCGGUAA
This 497-nucleotide ribosomal RNA is filed under the name uncultured bacterium. Its description in RNAcentral is "partial 16S ribosomal RNA". It matches the Rfam family "Bacterial small subunit ribosomal RNA", at positions 30 to 523 of the family's 1533-position model. The record is from RNAcentral.